RNAcentral lists this transfer RNA (64 nucleotides) under Galerita orientalis. RNAcentral's name for it is "tRNA-Trp". Lineage: Eukaryota; Metazoa; Arthropoda; Insecta; Coleoptera; Carabidae. The record is from RNAcentral.
AUUUAAGUUAACCCCCAAACUAAUAGCCUUCAAAGCUGUAAAUAAAGAAAAUACAUGCUUUAAG